AGCGAACGCUGGCGGCAGGCUUAACUCAUGCAAGUCGAGCGCCCCGCAAGGGGAGCGGCAGACGGGUGAGUAACACGUGGGAACGUACCCUUUGGUUCGGAACAACCCAGGGAAACUUGGGCUAAUACCGGAUACGUCCGUAAGGAGAAAGAUUUAUCGCCAAAGGAUCGGCCCGCGUCUGAUUAGCUAGUUGGUGAGGUAAUGGCCCACCAAGGCUACGAUCAGUAGCUGGUCUGAGAGGAUGAUCAGCCACAUUGGGACUGAGACACGGCCCAAACUCCUACGGGAGGCAGCAGUGGGGAAUAUUGGACAAUGGGGGCAACCCUGAUCCAGCCAUGUCGCGUGAGUGAUGAAGGCCCUAGGGUUGUAAAGCUCUUUUAGCAGGGAAGAUAAUGACGGUACCUGCAGAAAAAGCCCCGGCUAACUUCGUGCCAGCCGCCGCGGUAA
RNAcentral lists this ribosomal RNA (447 nucleotides) under uncultured bacterium. RNAcentral describes it as "partial 16S ribosomal RNA". It matches the Rfam family "Bacterial small subunit ribosomal RNA", at positions 29 to 523 of the family's 1533-position model. The record is from RNAcentral.